Molecule: ribosomal RNA, 1287 nt
Filed under: metagenome
Description: bacterial SSU rRNA
Rfam family: Bacterial small subunit ribosomal RNA
Source: RNAcentral
UAGCUAGUUGGUGAGGUAACGGCUUACCAAGGCGACGAUCUGUAGCGGGUCUGAGAGGAUGAUCCGCCACACUGGAACUGAGACACGGUCCAGACUCCUACGGGAGGCAGCAGUGGGGAAUUUUGGACAAUGGGGGCAACCCUGAUCCAGCCAUGCCGCGUGAGUGAAGAAGGCCUUCGGGUUGUAAAGCUCUUUCGGCCGGGAAGAAAUCGCAUGGGCCAAUACCCUGUGUGGAUGACGGUACCGGAAUAAGAAGCACCGGCUAACUACGUGCCAGCAGCCGCGGUAAUACGUAGGGUGCGAGCGUUAAUCGGAAUUACUGGGCGUAAAGCGUGCGCAGGCGGUUUUGUAAGACAGGCGUGAAAUCCCCGGGCUCAACCUGGGAACUGCGUUUGUGACUGCAAGGCUAGAGUACGGCAGAGGGGGGUGGAAUUCCACGUGUAGCAGUGAAAUGCGUAGAGAUGUGGAGGAACACCAAUGGCGAAGGCAGCCCCCUGGGUCGAUACUGACGCUCAUGCACGAAAGCGUGGGUAGCAAACAGGAUUAGAUACCCUGGUAGUCCACGCCCUAAACUAUGUCAACUAGGUGUUGGGUGGGUAAAACCAUUUAGUACCGUAGCUAACGCGUGAAGUUGACCGCCUGGGGAGUACGGCCGCAAGGUUAAAACUCAAAGGAAUUGACGGGGACCCGCACAAGCGGUGGAUGAUGUGGAUUAAUUCGAUGCAACGCGAAAAACCUUACCUACCCUUGACAUGCCAGGAACUUGCCAGAGAUGGCUUGGUGCCCGAAAGGGAGCCUGGACACAGGUGCUGCAUGGCCGUCGUCAGCUCGUGUCGUGAGAUGUUGGGUUAAGUCCCGCAACGAGCGCAACCCUUGUCGUUAAUUGCCAUCAUUUAGUUGGGCACUUUAGCGAGACUGCCGGUGACAAACCGGAGGAAGGUGGGGAUGACGUCAAGUCCUCAUGGCCCUUAUGGGUAGGGCUUCACACGUCAUACAAUGGUCGGUACAGAGGGUCGCCAAGCCGCGAGGUGGAGCCAAUCCCAGAAAGCCGAUCGUAGUCCGGAUUGCAGGCUGCAACUCGCCUGCAUGAAGUCGGAAUCGCUAGUAAUCGUGGAUCAGCAUGUCACGGUGAAUACGUUCCCGGGUCUUGUACACACCGCCCGUCACACCAUGGGAGCGGGUUCCGCCAGAAGUAGGUAGCCUAACCGCAAGGAGGGCGCUUACCACGGCGGGGUUCGUGACUGGGGUGAAGUCGAAACAAGGUAGCCGUAGGGGAACCUGCGGCUG